This 1138-nucleotide long non-coding RNA is filed under the name Nicotiana tabacum (common tobacco). Its description in RNAcentral is "long non-coding RNA (NTAB_LNC002620)". Lineage: Eukaryota; Viridiplantae; Streptophyta; Magnoliopsida; Solanales; Solanaceae. The record is from RNAcentral.
UAUUGUAGAAUGAUUAAACUCAAAUGCAGUGUAUGUAUCAAUAGGUAUCAUACAGGUCAUUAUGAUAAGCUGGAAUCUGACAUCUUAAGGAAUUGCCAAAGAACUUAAAUAAAUAACAAAGCUUGUAUAAUGUCAGUAAGUUCUGUGCUAUUCUUUUGUUCCCACUUACAAGGCAAACAAGGAAGUAAAGAAGGCAGAGAUGGCCAAUUGAAUAAACACCCAAGUGAAAUCUUCUUCAUUAUUCACUCCUGUCAAUGCCAAAGCUGGUUCUGCAGCUACCAAUAUAUGAUGAAUUAUCGAAAACAAACCCUUAUAAAGGGGCAAAAUAAAUGAACAAAACAAACAGUGAGUUAAUGCCAAUUAAAGGGUCUUACAAUGGCUAAAAAUGUUCCAACUUGAAUAGCCAGUGAAGGUUUGAAGAAAUCAAAGUUUCGAUAGCCAUCAAAUGGUAUGGAAAUUACUUGUAAAAAUGAACAAGCUGAUAGAUGGAUAGUGAAAUUGAGAUUUUUUAUGACUAUAAAUAACACUUAACUAGCUCCUUUAUAUAGAGUUGCUGAGUCGGUUAGAGUUCCUGUUCCAAAUUGAAUUCACCAAAGACUAGGUUUGCCGAUUUUCUUAGAGCAACAAGGGUAACCAGAAAUAGCGAGACAAUAACAAGAAUACGACACAAUAGAGCAAAAUCAGAAAGAGAAUUCUAGAAUGAGCGAGGAGACAACAUAAAUUUUACAUAAUAGAGAAAAAUAAGAAGCAUACAAUGCAAUAGCUAAAAAAUACAGAUAACAUAGAUUAGUAGAAAUAGAAAUCGAAAACUCAAGAGAGAAGAGAAGAAAGUACUCACAGAGAUUAAACUUCAAUAGCCCUAAAUUAUUUUUAGGGUUUCCAACAAUUAGAAGCAGCAACCGAUGGAAGUUCCCUAUUUCCGUCUCUGAGAUCCACUGUUAGGAAGAAGAUUAAUUUUGGGAAAGAAUAAAGAUAAAUUUGGGGGGCGCGGGAGGAACGGGAAAUCGCGAAUCAAAAUAGAACUUAAAAUAGAACUUAGCCGGUACCUUUAUUUGCCCUUUCAAAAUGGGGGGAAUUAUUUCAUUAAUUAAGAGAUUGGGGGAAAUUUUUGGUGAAACUCUUUAGAGACACUUACAAA